CUGAGAGGGGACAUGAUAGCAGUUUUCAGGUAUCUAAAAGGGUGUCAUCAGGAAGAGGGAGAAAACUUGUUCACCUUAGCCUCCAAUGAUAGAACAAGAAGCAAUGGGCUUAAACUGCAGCAAGGGAGAUUUAGGUUGGACAUUAGGAAAAAGUUCCUGACUGUCAGGGUAGUUAAACACUGGAAUAGAUUGCCUAGGGAAGUUGUGGAAUCUCCAUCUCUGGAGAUAUUUAAGAGUAGGUUAGAUAAAUGUCUAUUAGGGAUGGUCUAGACAGUAUUUGGUCCUGCCAUGAGGGCAGGGGACUGGACUCGAUGACCUCUCGAGGUCCCUUCCAGUCCUAGAGUCUAUGAGAGGUGGUACUUGGGGGAG
Gopherus flavomarginatus (Mexican gopher tortoise) is the source of this 369-nucleotide long non-coding RNA. RefSeq lists it as uncharacterized. NCBI's taxonomy places the organism in Eukaryota, Metazoa, Chordata, Testudines, Testudinidae. The record is from RefSeq and is a predicted model, not a curated record. The transcript is spliced from 3 exons.